RNAcentral lists this long non-coding RNA (2960 nucleotides) under Scleropages formosus (Asian bonytongue). Its description in RNAcentral is "lncRNA (ENSSFOG00015026964.1)". Lineage: Eukaryota; Metazoa; Chordata; Actinopteri; Osteoglossiformes; Osteoglossidae. The record is from RNAcentral.
GCCGGGAGCCGCUGCCGUGACGCCGAAAAUCCGCCCCGAAGACGUUGCCGAAGCGCGUCCCCGACCCGAAGGCGGCCGUCCGCGUGCCCGAUCGCGCCUUGCGGCUCGCGAGGGACUGAUCGAUUGGGCGCGCGCCGCGAUGGUCGCGCGUGUGCGGCGCGCGGGGAACGCGAUGGGCGCGCGCGGCGCGUGACAGCACGGAGCGGACAAGCAGCGGCGCGUUCGCAUCGCCAUGGGGGAGAGAGGCGCGUUCCUGUGCGGGGUCGUGGAAGGAUUCUACGGCAGACCCUGGUCCAUGGAGCAGAGGAAGGCCCUGUUCCGCUGGUGAGCCCCACCCCCACUGCACCUCCCUCCUUCCUACCUGUGGGUGUGUGUGUGUGUUUGGUACCGUUCGCCCACGUGUGGCUCUGCAGGUGUGCCCGUCGAGUGUCAUCAGAGGUUUAUAUAUUCAACAUGCAGAGUUUGGCUCGGCGUUCGCCAGCGCAAACUGUACCACUGGCCGUUUCCAUGGCAACCGGCUCCGCAAAGCUCUGCUCCACACUGUCGUCUAAAACUGUACUUUGCUUUUUACUGCAUCUGAAUGUUGUCCCCUUUUACAUGCUGUAUUGGUUCAUGUAAACAUAAGGGCCCUUUGCACUGCCUGUACUUGUGUGGUGGUUGGAGCUUCUGGCCUGCAGCUCAAGGAUUUUGGUUCAAAUCCCACUUUUGCUGCAUUACCUGAGAACCACAUACUCACCCAUAAAUUCUCUCGUAAAAAAAAUACCCAGUUUUGCAAAUAUGCAAAUACUUGUAAGUAGUUUGAUAUAAGAACCUAACAAGUGUCUUUGUCGAUAGACUUUGGGCAGCUGGUACUGUAGUAGUUAGAGCAGCUUCCUUUGCACCCAUGGGUUGCAGGUUCAAAUCCCACCUCCAUCUGUGCUUCCUUUAAAUAAGGUAUUUAUCCUGAGUUGCUCCAGUAAAUCUACCCAGCUGUGUAAAUGGUUGUAAGUAGGUUUAGGGAAAUGCAUGAGCUACAUGACUGGACAUAAAGUAUUAAAUGGGCUGAGAGGUAGGUAGGUGUGUGUGUGUGUGUGUGUGUGUGUGUGUGUGUGUGUGUGUGUGUGUGUGUGUGUGUGUGUGUGUGUGUGUGUGUGUGUGUAAUACAGCCAGUGGCCACUAGGAGUCACUGUGUGCUGCAGUGUGAGGGAACUGCUUUGGACCAGGAGCUCAUGGUUCCUCUGCAGCUUCUGCCACAUCCACUAAAAUUACUUCCUGCUGCACAAAGGACUGCUGUUUGAAUCCCAUCUCCUGCUGUAGUACCCUAGAUAUGGUACUUACCCUGAACUGAUACAGUACACAUUUACCUAGUUGUGUGAAGGUUUAAAUCAGUAGCUUAACAUUGUAACUUUGAAGAGAAGCAUCAGCUGUGUCAAUAAUAUUGAACAUAAAGGAUGGUCUCCAGUUGGGUUUUUACCCUGGUCCAGCACAGUCACUCACUCAUUCACACACUGCAUGCAAGUUAGCAUUGCCAGUGCACCUGAACUGCAAGUCUUGGCACUGUGAGAGGAAACCAGAGCACCCUUACGAACAUGGGGAGAUCAUGCAGGCUCCACACAGCGCGAGCCUGGCUUGAGCCUACGUUCGAACCCAGAACCAGGGCGGCCGUGGUGGAUGAAACGAGCGUUGAAGUGAAGGUGCGGCUGAGAGACGGGUCCCCUGCUGAACAAAACAACAUCAUCAUCAUCAGCAGCUGCUGCCAGAAAGCAAAGCGAUGCGAAUAUGACUUAUGACACGCGUGAUGGCGUACGACAUAACGUGACCGAAGGGAAUCGGUGAAACGCGCACCUGGCUGCGGACACAGUCCUGCUCAUCUCCCUGUGGGUGAUGUGACACAGCAUGCUGGGAAAGGAGGCUGUGCUCACCGUGUUCCUCUUGUGUGUCACAGAUACGAAUAUGAUAGGAGGACACUUUGCCGGCCGAACGCGUUUGCACGUACGGUGGAUUUGACGCGGCGGAGCUCGUUCAGACACGUCCGACACGGUCAAGCAACACACGUGACGGACGUCACACCACAUUCGAGUAACAACGAGUAUAACGUGACAGUAAAUAGCGGAGAAACAGUCCCACCGUUUGACGUGGACCAACUAGCUGAAUAUUCAUGUCCAUCCAGGGUGGAUAUGGAUUAUAAUGUUCAUGAGGGAAACUUUGCAUAUUGUUUGUUUAUUAUAGUGUUCUUCCUCUUCAGACUUCUGUUACACUUUUAUUGACAUGUUUAUUAUCCUUUGCUUUCUUCUAAUGUAAUUUGGUCAUUUCCUCAUUUUUGGCGCAUAGUUGGUGUCACUUGAACCACGAAGAGCAGUAGUGUGGGUGCGUGCAAAUGGGGGGGGGGGCUGUGUGGGUGGAGCGACGGCGCCACCAUCUGCACGGGAAGCGAGACUAGUGAUGUUACCUGCGCCCAGAGGGAGACGAGUUGUGUUUGACCCCCCAGCGUCCCCAUGUAUCUCCCCUCUUCAUCUCUCUCUGCUGCCUGGCUGCAGCUGCCUGCAUCAGGAUCAAAACUGGCUACGGCCUACAAGACGGUCAAAGGAUCUGCGCUGCGGUACCUACAGGACCCGAUCGCUCCCUACAGCCCGGAAAGGGUGCUGAGCUCCUCCAACUCUGGACACUUGGUUGUCUCACUCUCAGGGGUGCGGAAGUGUGUAGGGUCUCCGUGUGGUGCAGUGAGCGCCCGCUGUCCCUCGGAGCUGCUGAAUCCCUUUAAAAACUCCUUUGUUUCAGGGCCACUUCUCUCCUGAUCUCCUAACAGCUCCAUAAACUCACAUCACACCAUCCGUCACCAUCACCUCUGCGUUUCCUACUACUGCUACUCUGUACCGUGGUAUUGGACACACUGAGUCUGUCUGUCUGUCUGGUCAAUUGUACUUUUGCACGUCACUUUGGGGAAGAGUCUGAUACAGUGAAUAAACGUCAGAGUGGUUCCA